AUAUGUAUAUACAUACAUAUACUACAAUAUUAUAUUUAUUGUUGCAUUUGUAGUUGUAGCUACUUAAAAGCAUAUUGGACAUUCGACUUAUUGCGUGCAAAUUAAGCAAAACAUUCAAGUUUGGCAUCGCUUCCAGCGCAUUGACGUCUCCCACAACCGAUCCUAGUUAUCUAUAUAUAAGUCGUGCACAAAACUAUUAUAUGUUGUUUUUUAAUUUUUUAACUAUGAUGCCUGCUCACAUAAUUCAAUUCCAUUGGAUAUCCAUCAAAGUCAAUUUAGUUUACAUUGAUAAAUACAAUUCGAAUUCAAAAAGGAUUCACAAAAUGGUCACGGUUUUGAGCUAGCAUUUAUGUAUUACAUUUUAUAGAACGGCUAAAAGUACAAUUAAAUCUUAAUGUUGCAGAAUCUCGAUUCAGACACAAUCGAUCUCUUGCCCCCUUAUCCCACAACACAUAAGAAAGUACAAUUGCUUACAUAUAUGUAUGCUUAUAUGGUAAAAUUGCAUGGAUACAAUAAAUUCAAAAACAAAAAUCAAAA
Molecule: long non-coding RNA, 537 nt
Organism: Drosophila grimshawi
Lineage: Eukaryota; Metazoa; Arthropoda; Insecta; Diptera; Drosophilidae
Exons: 2
Source: RefSeq, a predicted model, not a curated record